This 315-nucleotide unclassified non-coding RNA is filed under the name plant metagenome. RNAcentral's name for it is "partial contains 5.8S ribosomal RNA, internal transcribed spacer 2, and large subunit ribosomal RNA". The stretch from base 1 to 105 matches the Rfam family "5.8S ribosomal RNA", at positions 50 to 154 of the family's 154-position model. The record is from RNAcentral.
GAACUGCGAUAAGUAAUGUGAAUUGCAGAAUUCAGUGAAUCAUCGAGUCUUUGAACGCACAUUGCGCCCCCUGGCAUUCCGGGGGGCAUGCCUGUCCGAGCGUCAUUGCUGCCCUUCAAGCCCGGCUUGUGUGUUGGUUCGUCGUCCCCUCCGGGGGACGGGCCCGAAAGGCAGCGGCGGCACCGCGUCCGGUCCUCGAGCGUAUGGGGCUUUGUCACCCGCUCGAUAAGGACCGGCCGGGCGCCAGCCGGCGUCUCCAACCUUUUUUUCUCAGGUUGACCUCGGAUCAGGUAGGGAUACCCGCUGAACUUAAGC